Molecule: ribosomal RNA, 189 nt
Filed under: uncultured bacterium
Lineage: Bacteria
Description: partial 16S ribosomal RNA
Rfam family: Bacterial small subunit ribosomal RNA
Source: RNAcentral
CCUACGGGAGGCAGCAGUGGGGAAUAUUGGACAAUGGGCGGAAGCCUGAUCCAGCCAUGCCGCGUGUGUGAAGAAGGCCUUCGGGUUGUAAAGCACUUUCAGCGAGGAAGAACGCCUAGUGGUUAAUACCCAUUAGGAAAGACAUCACUCGCAGAAGAAGCACCGGCUAACGCCGUGCCAGCAGCCGCG